RNAcentral lists this ribosomal RNA (612 nucleotides) under Curvibasidium nothofagi. Its description in RNAcentral is "eukaryotic LSU rRNA". It matches the Rfam family "Eukaryotic large subunit ribosomal RNA", at positions 45 to 655 of the family's 3401-position model. Lineage: Eukaryota; Fungi; Basidiomycota; Microbotryomycetes. The record is from RNAcentral.
AAUAAGCGGAGGAAAAGAAACUAACAAGGAUUCCCCUAGUAACGGCGAGUGAAGCGGGAAGAGCUCAAAUUUGUAAUCUGGCACUUUCAGUGUCCGAGUUGUAAUCUCGAGAAGUGUUUUCCGCGCCGGACCGCAUACAAGUCUGUUGGAAUACAGCGUCAUAGUGGUGAGAACCCCGUAACUGAUGCGGAUGCCCGGUGCUUUGUGAUACACUUUCGAAGAGUCGAGUUGUUUGGGAAUGCAGCUCAAAUUGGGUGGUAAAUUCCAUCUAAAGCUAAAUAUUGGCGAGAGACCGAUAGCGAACAAGUACCGUGAGGGAAAGAUGAAAAGCACUUUGGAAAGAGAGUUAACAGUACGUGAAAUUGUUGGAAGGGAAACGAUUGAAGUCAGACUUGUUAUCUGGAGUUCAGCCUUUCGGUGUACUCUCCAGUUUACAGGCCAGCAUCAGUUUUCGGGGCGGGAAAAUCGUAAUUAGAAGGUAGCAGCCUAGCUGUGUUAUAGCUUUUUACUGGAUUCCGCUUUGGGGACUGAGGAACGCAGUGUGCUUUUAGCAAUACCCUCGGGUAUUUCACACUUAGGAUGCUGGUGGAAUGGCUUUAAACGACCCGUCUU